RNAcentral lists this ribosomal RNA (465 nucleotides) under uncultured bacterium. Its description in RNAcentral is "partial 16S ribosomal RNA". It matches the Rfam family "Bacterial small subunit ribosomal RNA", at positions 28 to 507 of the family's 1533-position model. The record is from RNAcentral.
GACGAACGCUGGCGGCGUGCUUAACACAUGCAAGUCGUACGGUAAGGCCCUUUCGGGGGUACACGAGUGGCGAACGGGUGAGUAACACGUGAGUAACCUGCCCACAACUUUGGGAUAACGCUAGGAAACUGGUGCUAAUACUGGAUAUGUGCUCCUGCCGCAUGGUGGGGGUUGGAAAGCUCCGGCGGUUGUGGAUGGACUCGCGGCCUAUCAGCUUGUUGGUGGGGUAGUGGCCUACCAAGGCGGCGACGGGUAGCCGGCCUGAGAGGGUGACCGGCCACAUUGGGACUGAGAUACGGCCCAGACUCCUACGGGAGGCAGCAGUGGGGAAUAUUGCACAAUGGGCGCAAGCCUGAUGCAGCAACGCCGCGUGCGGGAUGACGGCCUUCGGGUUGUAAACCGCUUUCAGCAGGGACGAAGCUUUUUGUGACGGUACCUGCAGAAGAAGCACCGGCUAACUACGUG